GAUGAACGCUGGCGGCGUGCCUAAUACAUGCAAGUCGAGCGAACAGAUGAGGAGCUUGCUCCUCUGACGUUAGCGGCGGACGGGUGAGUAACACGUGGAUAACCUACCUAUAAGACUGGGAUAACUUCGGGAAACCGGAGCUAAUACCGGAUAAUAUAUUGAACCGCAUGGUUCAAUAGUGAAAGACGGUUUUGCUGUCACUUAUAGAUGGAUCCGCGCCGCAUUAGCUAGUUGGUAAGGUAACGGCUUACCAAGGCAACGAUGCGUAGCCGACCUGAGAGGGUGAUCGGCCACACUGGAACUGAGACACGGUCCAGACUCCUACGGGAGGCAGCAGUAGGGAAUCUUCCGCAAUGGGCGAAAGCCUGACAGAGCAACGCCGCGUGAGUGAUGAAGGUCUUCGGAUCGUAAAACUCUGUUAUUAGGGAGGAACAAAUGUGUAAGUAACUAUGCACGUCUUGACGGUACCUAAUCAGAAAGCCACGGCUAACUACGUG
RNAcentral lists this ribosomal RNA (497 nucleotides) under uncultured bacterium. Its description in RNAcentral is "partial 16S ribosomal RNA". It matches the Rfam family "Bacterial small subunit ribosomal RNA", at positions 28 to 507 of the family's 1533-position model. The record is from RNAcentral.